UAGGUAGCUUAACCUUCRGGAGGGCGCUUACCACUUUGUGAUUCAUGACUGGGGUGAAGUCGUAACAAGGUAACCGUAGGGGAACCUGCGGUUGGAUCACCUCCUUACCUUAAAGAAGC
RNAcentral lists this ribosomal RNA (119 nucleotides) under Escherichia coli. RNAcentral describes it as "partial 16S ribosomal RNA". The stretch from base 1 to 107 matches the Rfam family "Bacterial small subunit ribosomal RNA", at positions 1427 to 1533 of the family's 1533-position model. The record is from RNAcentral. Lineage: Bacteria; Pseudomonadati; Pseudomonadota; Gammaproteobacteria; Enterobacterales; Enterobacteriaceae.